UAACAACAAAGUUUUGUUGCACCAUUAGUAAUUGGUCAGAGGCAUUGAUAAAAGAAUAGAAUAAAAAUGUUAGUCAAUGCAAGUGCUUGGUCGGAAUCAUCAAUGUGGCUUGUCCAUUACCUCUAGAAGAUCUGCUAGACAAACAUUGGAAAUGCAAAUGUGCAGUUUUUCUUGAAUAUUUAUUGCUUUUAAGAUCUACAAACAUUCUCUCAUCUCUAUGUAAUUCUUUACAAAAUUGUGAACGUGUUAAAUAUUAAUACCUCAACUAUGAUUAAGUAAAAGGUCAACUAAUAAAUAUAAUGUAUUCUUAUGUUUAAAUAUGA
RNAcentral lists this unclassified non-coding RNA (323 nucleotides) under Hevea brasiliensis (rubber tree). The record is from RNAcentral. Lineage: Eukaryota; Viridiplantae; Streptophyta; Magnoliopsida; Malpighiales; Euphorbiaceae.